Pantherophis guttatus is the source of this 1438-nucleotide non-coding RNA. NCBI's taxonomy places the organism in Eukaryota, Metazoa, Chordata, Lepidosauria, Squamata, Colubridae. The record is from RefSeq and is a predicted model, not a curated record.
CAGCCUAAAACAAUGACACCUAACGAGAUAACGGUCUGCAGCUCCUCUUCCUGUGCAGGAAACCCAUUCUUACUAACCACUAUUUGCAAAAUUCGUGAUUCAUUUGGAAGCCUCCCAUGCGACAGCUCCGAAAGGUUCAGAAAAGUGGCCGCUAAGGGAACAGAAUCCAACCCAGGUGACGGUCUAUAAAUUUACAACUUGCUGGAAAACACGAGCAUAACUCACCUGCCAGGCUCGAGACGUUAAUAAUCCUUCCCUUGGAUUUCCGGAGCAACGCAGCAUUUGGAUGUCACAGUGCUGAGAUCUGACAAUAUUUGUGUCAGCAUUCCAGGAAAACCCCAACUCCAAGUAAAGACGUGGAAGCAAGCAUUUUCCAAAGUUCUCUUUACUAGAAUAGGUAAACUGGCACAUCUGGGAAAACCCAAAUCUGAAAAGCCGGGGUUUUCCUUCAGUAAGUCAAAGCUCCCAAAACCAUCCCCUUUUCCACCCCGUCGGUCACAUGCUCCAAUCAACAUCUGUUCCAUCCCGAUCCAGCCCCCUGACCACUCCUUCUCCAGAUGCUGGAUCGCCCUGAUCUUGACCGACAGGAAGAAUGCUAUUAUGUCUACUAACCCCCUCUCCUAAAUCCCCCCUCCUACGGAGGCAGCAUUGGAGCCUCCGGCCUAAUAUGGCCAAGGCUGACAGGCUUCCCCCCCUGCAAAAAGAACCACCUCCUCCAGGCAAAACACAAAAGAAGGGGUUAACACCUAGCACCAAUCCCCUUAACCCCCUCUCCCCCCCCCACAGGGGGACAUUUCAGUUUCUCAGGAAAUUGCACUACCAAAGGAGGGGGUGGAGCAGUUGCCAAAGCUGACAAUUUGAUGGAUAACUGUGUGUGGUUUUUCAUUAUCUAGACUGCAAAUAUUGGGCAACGGUCAGCAGCGGGCAAUCGUCCAGCUUGUAGCCACCACCGUUGAGUUGACUACAUGCAGCUGCGUUAAGAUAGAUCUUUUAUCUCAAUUCUGUUUAUUCCAUCAGCCUCUAAAAGGAGGUAAACAUUGAUGUCAGCCUCUGAUUUUGAAAGAUGAUUAGGCUGCUCAGGCCAAUAUCAACAGGCCUUCUCCUUUCUGGACCUUUGCAAAAAAAUAAAUAAAUGUAAUGUCGGCAAGAACGAGGAUCACAGAGGGGCGGGAGAAGUGCAAUCAAAGCCAUACCUUCGUUUUGCAACUUCCGUCUUGUUUCAAGAUAAGCCUCCUUGAUUUGCACAGAACUGGUGAUAUCCAGCUGCAGGAUGGAAAGCCUUUCGGAGCAGGUCUCCUUCAGCGUUUUGGCACCGGGCCCCGUUGCGUUUAACACGCCGGCAAAGACAGUAAACCCUAAACUGUCAAGGUACUUGGCGAGCUCAUGGCCGAUUCCACUGUCGGUUCCUAUCAAAGAAGCCAUUAAAAAUAUAAGUAUA